UGCGUAGGUGGUCCGUUAAGUUCGUUGUGAAAUCCCUGGGCUCAACCCAGGAACUGCUUCGAAUACUGGCGGACUUGAGGCCAGUAGGGGUCACUAGAACUGACGGUGGAGCGGUGAAAUGCGUGGAUAUCGUCAGGAAUGCCGGUGGUGAAGACGGGUGACUGGGCUGGUUCUGACACUGAGGCACGAAAGCGUGGGGAGCGAACGGGAUUAGAUACCCCGGUAGUCCACGCCCUAAACGAUGCAGACUAGAUUGCAGCGGGUCUUACCCCGUUGCGGUCGAGCGAAAUUGUUAAGUCUGCCACCUGGGAAGUACGGUCGCAAGGCUAAA
RNAcentral lists this ribosomal RNA (331 nucleotides) under uncultured bacterium. RNAcentral describes it as "bacterial SSU rRNA". It matches the Rfam family "Bacterial small subunit ribosomal RNA", at positions 568 to 898 of the family's 1533-position model. The record is from RNAcentral.